CCUAAAAUCUAGCCUUACUUCCUAAUUCACCUCUUACCCACGAACUAAAAUAUUCUUUAACUCAAGUACAGAUGAUCAAAAAAUUAUUUAGCGCUAUAAUAGUACCGCAAGGGAAAGAUGAAAUAAAAAUGAAAACCUCAAGCACAACAAAUAGUAGAGACUGGCCCUCGUACCUUUUGCAUCAUGGUUUAACUAGUCAAGCAUAGGCAAAAAGACCUUAAGUCUACCUCCCCGAAACUAAGUGAGCUACUCAAAGGCAGCUUUCUGAGCCCAUCCAUCUCUGUUGCAAAAGAGUGGAAUGACCUUGAAGUAGAGGCGACACACCUAACGAACUUAGUGAUAGCUGGUUGUUCAGGCAAAGCAUCUUAGUUCUGCCUAAAACUUUUAUUACAUUACACAAACAAACCCUACACCUUUUAGAGCAACUCAAAUAGGGUACAGCCUAUUUGAAACAGGAUACAACCUACAAUACCGGGUAACUUCGACCUCACCUAAGCAACAUAGUGGGCCUAAGAGCAGCCAACACUUAAAAAGCGUCAAAGCUUAAUUGCCCCCACCCCCUCUAUCCCACGAACAUCACCGAACCCUUUAAUAGUACUGAACACUUCAAUAUCUCUAUUGAACCUUUUAUGUUAAAACUAGUAACAAGAAAUAAAUUUUCUCACAAUGUAAACAUAACCCAGACAGCACCCCGCACUGGCAAUUAACGAUCCUAACCCAAAGGUAGUAACCCAGAAAAUAAAACUCUACCGGCCCCCCCCCGUCAACCUGACACAAGAACAUUACAAGAAAGAUUAAAAGAAAAAAAAGGAACUCGGCAAAUAUUAAUUUCGCCUGUUUACCAAAAACAUCGCCUCUUGCAUACUAUAAGAGGUCCAGCCUGCCCAGUGACCCAUUUAACGGCCGCGGUAUCCUAACCGUGCAAAGGUAGCACAAUCACUUGUUUUUUAAAUAAAGACUAGUAUGAAUGGCACCACGAAAAUUAAACUGUCUCUUUUUUUCAAUCAGUGAAACUAAUCUCCCCGUGAAGAAGCGGGGAUUAUCCCAUAAGACGAGAAGACCCUGUGGAGCUUUAAACUUUUCUAGCGCCCACUUCUACCCUCCAAUAACACCAAGUGCCCCCCUAGAAUGUUUUCGGUUGGGGCGACCUCGGAGAACAACUCACCCUCCAAGCUGAAAUAGUUAAUACUUAAACAAAAACUCACAACUUUAUGUAUCAAUAAAUUGACACCCAUUGACCCAGCAACCUGAUCAACGAACCAAGUUACCCCAGGGAUAACAGCGCAAUCUUCUUUAAGAGCCCAUAUCGACAAGAAGGUUUACGACCUCGAUGUUGGAUCAGGGUACCCAAGGAGUGCAGCCGCCCCUAAAGGUUCGUUCGU
This 1382-nucleotide ribosomal RNA is filed under the name Phyllonastes lochites (Ecuador leaf frog). RNAcentral's name for it is "Noblella lochites (Ecuador leaf frog) partial 16S ribosomal RNA". It matches the Rfam family "Bacterial large subunit ribosomal RNA", at positions 372 to 2580 of the family's 2925-position model. Lineage: Eukaryota; Metazoa; Chordata; Amphibia; Anura; Craugastoridae. The record is from RNAcentral.